UACUUUCUUACCCAUUCAUGGGGUUCUGUA
This 30-nucleotide non-coding RNA is filed under the name Rattus norvegicus (Norway rat). The record is from RNAcentral. Lineage: Eukaryota; Metazoa; Chordata; Mammalia; Rodentia; Muridae.